GUUUAGUACAACAAAGGAUGAUAUCAGCACUUUUGGAGAGUACAUCGGGAGCAAGGAUUUGGUUGAUUACAUAUUGGCUCUUGAAUCUACAUCAGUUGUGGAAAACCCAUCACAAUGUGAGGAUAUUCAACAGUCAGAGGAAGCAGAUGACAAAGAAAGCAAUGAAAGCAGUAAGAUUGAACUGAAGCAACUACCAGAUCACCUUCGCUAUGCAUUCUUGGGGGAUAAGUCUGCAUUUCCAGUAAUUAUUUCUUCAUCACUCACCAGAGACGAAGAGGAUAGAUUAUUGAAAGUGUUGAGGGAUCAUAAGGCCGCUUUGGGAUGGUCAAUAGCUGACAUCAAGGGGAUAAGUCCUACAAUCUGCAUGCACAAAAUCCUCAUGGAAGAGUCUUACAAGCCAUCCAUCGAACAUCAAAGAAGGUUAAACCCAGCAAUGAAAGAAGUGGUUUGAGCGGAGAUUCUAAAGCUACUAAAGGCAGGAAUCAUUUUUGCCAUUUCAGACAGUGAAUGGGUCAGCCCAGUGCAAGUGGUACCAAAGAAAGGAGGGAUGACAGUAGUUAAGAACGACAACAAUGAGCUAAUUCCGACAAGAACGGUAACUGGCUGGAGGGUGUGCAUUGAUUACAGGAAACUGAAUAAGGCAACAAGAAAGGACCAUUUCCCACUGCCGUUCAUUGAUCAAAUGUUGGACAGAUUAGCUGGCUACUCUCACUAUUGCUUUCUUGAUGGAUAUUCGGGCUACAACCAGAUUGCUAUAGCACCAGAAGAUCAGGAAAAGACAACCUUCACCUGUCCAUAUGGAACUUUUGCCUACAGACGGAUGCCAUUCGGGUUAUGCAAUGCACCAGCCACUUUUCAGAGAUGCAUGAUGGCAAUCUUUGCAGACAUGGUUGAAGACAUCAUGGAGGUAUUUAUGGAUGACUUCUCGGUGUUCGGUACUUCUUUUAAUAACUGCCUUCAUAAUCUCUCCUUAGUGCUGCAACGCUGUGAGGAAAGGAAUUUAGUUCUCAACUGGGAAAAGUGCCACUUCAUGGUACAAGAAGGUAUUGUGCUAGGCCAUCAUGUUUCGGCGAGGGGGUUGGAAGUGGACAGAGCAAAAAUUGAUACAAUUGAAAAGCUACCACCACCUACCAAUGUCAAAGGCAUUCGAAGUUUCUUAGGGCAUGCUGGAUUCUACAGGAGAUUCAUCAAAGACUUCUCAAAAGUGGCAAAACCCCUAUGUAACCUUUUGGAGAAGGACACAACGUUUGUAU
This 1253-nucleotide long non-coding RNA is filed under the name Olea europaea subsp. europaea. Lineage: Eukaryota; Viridiplantae; Streptophyta; Magnoliopsida; Lamiales; Oleaceae. The record is from RNAcentral.